Molecule: ribosomal RNA, 425 nt
Filed under: uncultured bacterium
Lineage: Bacteria
Description: partial 16S ribosomal RNA
Rfam family: Bacterial small subunit ribosomal RNA
Source: RNAcentral
GUGGGGAAUAUUGGACAAUGGGCGCAAGCCUGAUCCAGCCAUGCCGCGUGAGUGAUGAAGGCCUUAGGGUUGUAAAGCUCUUUCAGUGGGGACGAUAAUGACGGUACCCACAGAAGAAGCCCCGGCUAACUUCGUGCCAGCAGCCGCGGUAAUACGAAGGGGGCUAGCGUUGUUCGGAUUUACUGGGCGUAAAGCGCACGUAGGCGGAUCGUUAAGUCGGGGGUGAAAUCCUGGAGCUCAACUCCAGAACUGCCUUCGAUACUGGCGAUCUUGAGUCCGGAAGAGGUGAGUGUAUCUCCUAGUGUAUAGGUUGUAAUCGUAGAUAUUAGGAAGAUCACCAGUGGCGAAGGCGUCUCACUGGUCCGGUACUUACGCUGAGGUGCGAAAGCGUGGGGAGCAAACAGGAUUAGAAACCCGGGUAGUCC